Long non-coding RNA from Betta splendens (Siamese fighting fish), 2453 nucleotides. Ensembl lists it as uncharacterized. The record is from Ensembl. Lineage: Eukaryota; Metazoa; Chordata; Actinopteri; Anabantiformes; Osphronemidae.
CUCUACAUGUUAAAAAAAUUACAAUUAAAUAUCAGUAGUCCGUCGCACGUCGGUCGCAUAAAGAUGACGCAAUACGGAAACGUAAUGUAAACAAACAAAAAAAAAAAUUGUAUUCUUCUUUUAUGGUGUCUGUCGACGGUUGGCAAACAACAUCAGGGUGCAUUACCGCCACCCACUGACAUGUGUGGACCUCACAAUGACUCCUUAGGAUAUUAUUGGUACAACUUUGUCGAAUUGUUUUAUUAUGUAUAUGAAUAAUACUGUCACUGCUCACGAUUAAAGACAUGUUUAAAUAUCUCUACACACAAUAAAAUAUUUCCUUUAUUAAAUGUGGGUUACUGUACAGGAAGAAAUCAACUUUUUGUCAAGGUUUAGAAAUGUAUAUAUAUUUACUUCGUACAUCUAUAUUCAAAGGCUGCACCAGUCGUUUAAUUUCCCGUUGACAGUGAAAGCACCACGCGUCCUCUGUCCAAUCACUAUGACCCAUUUUGCUAAAGCACUUUUUUGAACCCAAGGCGCCUUUGUGCUCGGCUGCGGUUCCUCUACGCAAGCUAUCACUGUAAAGAAAGAGAAUUGUACAAUUGUUAACAGACAUGGAUUUUAGUAAUGCAUUGCAAAAGAACGGUCUUCGAUACAAAAAGGCCCUGGACCGAAUCAUAGAUAAGUAUUCGAAGCUUCAGUAUCACAACGGGGGCAUAGAGGUGGACCUCGAAAAUACAAAUACCGCAACAAUUGGUCGCUACAUGGAGAUGGCAGAACUCGAGCUGAGCAAGUUGGAGUCAAAGAGCUCCGCAGAUUCGAGAGAUGAGUCAUUAAGAUCACAAGACACUACAAGAGAUUCCCAGUUGGACUUCACAUUUCAAAGUACUGAAUUUCAUGAUACUCCUGCAUCAACCAGACAAUUGUUUGGAGAGGAUGAUGGAAUGGCUGGAAGUGAGCCAACCCAGCUGACUGUGAGCCUACUGCAUGAAAGUGGGGGAAGCUUUUCAGAGACGGAGAUUCAACCUGAAGACCAAGACGAGGAACUGCAAAUGACACUGAGAAGUCAUAACACUUUGGGGGACCUCUACCCCAGCAUGAUCAGUCGAAUAGAAACGGCCUGGCAUCGAAAUAAUGUGUCUCAGGCUGCUGACGCUGUGCUGACCAAGUACCGCAAAUGGCGAAAGCAUUCAAGAAGCAAUAUCAGCAUCAACACUUCAAUUGUUUCACUGCAGCAUAGCAAGGAAAGGCAGAUGACCAGCAGCAUUCUGCUCCCGGAAGACCUCCCAGAAAGAGGGCAGUACACAAGGGCUGAAUAUUUGCCACGGUCUCCUUUGAAGAUGGUACAUAAGCUGCAGGACAGGAUGGCACAACAGCAGUUGCCUGGUAGGCAGACGAGCUCACAGACAAGAGAGCAGCACAAGCCUAUCCUCUCGAUGGACUUUUAUGAGCCACCUGAGACUUCAAGGCCACAAAAAAUCUUGCUUAACAAGACCUUCUCUGUGCCUGAUUUGACCCUUCUAGGAGAACAGUCCUAUUCCUAUCAUGGGAGUCCUUCACGGCCUUGCUAUCCCACUGCAAACGCAGCCUUGCAGAGUUCUCUUUGGAAUAAAAGGCUUUCCCUGUCUGCACACAAACAGCAGGCUGCUGAAGGCUCUGUGUUUGCAUCAGAAAACAAUGCUGUUAAUGACAGACAUGUCUAUAGCUCCCCAGUCAGACAAAGUCCAUCGAAGAUGAGGAUGUUGACCAGCUUCAGUGGUUCACCUAGAUCCUUUUACAGAAGCCCCAAAGAAUCACGUAGAGAAAGCUUUUCAAGAGAGACUGCACAGUCUUCAUCAGUGUCAACAUUUCUGUCCUCCCCUUUGCAAAAACCUACUGGGAACAGGAUACUCUACCCUCAACACUCCAACCACACUCUCCAGCUGCCUUCACUUCAGUCAGCUAGUCCAGAAGGUCGUGUCAGGCUCCGAAGGCAUCUUUUCUGCGAUUCAUCCCAGCCAGUACUCAGUACUUCCCACUCACCAAAGCAGAUCGAUGAAGACUUUAAAAAACUGUACCACAAGUUUGUAUGUCAGAACAAGUCUUUCUAUAAUAUCCCUCCCUGUCGUCUCUGUGCUGAACGCUCUAGAGCCAACCAAAGUCACUCGUCCUCGGUGCUGGCUGCACUGGCCUUGUCACCUCACCGCUCUGUCUUGAGGAAGCGCCAAAGAGAGUCAGGCUCGGACAGCCGCCCCCACUCUAAGCGCUCCAGGGAAGAGUAUUAUACAUACUCCCCAGGCUCCAAACGUCGUGAGAAUGAAGUGCUGGGGCACUGUCUUCCUUCAUCUCAGCUUGAGCAUCAUCAUGACCGUAAACGCAGUGUGUUUCAAAAUGUCGGUACCCAGCACCACUCAGCAGAUGCCAGGAGGAUUCAAGGUCUGACUUUGUCUGGCUACGGUAUGUGAGUGUAGAGCAGCACACAGCUACUGCCACAG